RNAcentral lists this transfer RNA (72 nucleotides) under Callorhinchus milii (elephant shark). RNAcentral describes it as "tRNA-Gly (ACC) (tRNA-Gly-ACC-1-1)". It matches the Rfam family "tRNA". Rfam says of the family: Transfer RNA (tRNA) molecules are approximately 80 nucleotides in length. Their secondary structure includes four short double-helical elements and three loops (D, anti-codon, and T loops). The record is from Rfam by way of RNAcentral. Lineage: Eukaryota; Metazoa; Chordata; Chondrichthyes; Chimaeriformes; Callorhinchidae.
AGUCCUGUAGCUCAGUGGUUAGAGCACUCGCCUACCAAGCGGGAGACCUGGGUUUGAUUCUCAGCAGGGCAA